Molecule: long non-coding RNA, 1845 nt
Organism: Eucalyptus grandis
Lineage: Eukaryota; Viridiplantae; Streptophyta; Magnoliopsida; Myrtales; Myrtaceae
Exons: 2
Source: RefSeq, a predicted model, not a curated record
UUCAGCCAGCACAUAGAGAGACACACUAGUGAUAGUGAAAGGGCGAGAAAAAGGUGUUCAGCCAAGCUUCCCAGCCUGCGACGUCUUCAGCGUCAUCAAUCUUUGCCGCCGUCGCUUGUCGCUGCUUCAUCUCACCGAGAUCCCUCACGGCAACGAGCUGCCUCUCCCUGCCGUCCCGUGAUCCUGUUGUUCUGUGGCUAGAUAUUACUCCAUGUUGUCUUGGUUGUUGGAGGUGUGAUACGUGAGCGACACGAGAAGAAACAGAGAAAUCGUGAGCGCGAGCCAGAAAAAAUAAAUAUUGCAGUGCCCUCGAAGAUUGAAGAUGGUGAUCCAGUGGUGUUGUUCGUCAGUGCAGUUAGACAAUUUGGUCAAUCAUCCACUCACGGUCAAAUGCAACAGAAGCAAAAAUUCUUGAAAGCCACAAGACAAAACAGAGAAGACUAGAGAGGCAGGCGGCAAUGUACAGAGAGAUCAUUUUUCACUUCCCGCUGGUUUUUGCUCUCACGUCCCCUCCACCCCUCCAUCGGCACCUGUCAUGUCGUGCGCCUUGUCCCUGUAAUCUAAUUAUUUUCUGCAGAUUUUCCACACUAGCCUGGUUCUUCGUCCACGAUCACCAUUGCUCCUCAGCAUCCCAGCGAGUUCCGGAGCCCACCGCCAUUGACGUUCUAACCCGUUUCCAUCGAGACCAUGGAGCAAUAAGCCAUCGCCAAUGCCACCAUCCAACCAGUCCGAAUUCGCGAAUGACAUCCGCAAAAUAAUACUUCAGUGAGUUAGACAAGUUGUACAAUGAAGUAAUUGAAGAGCACUGAGACCCUAGAAGCCUAUAUCCGAUUACGAAGAUCUUGUUGACGUGUUGCUUCGGUUGCAAAGGAUCCAAAUCAAAUGAUUGCCCUCACAGGCGAACAGAUAAAAGGUGUAUUAACUGUAUGUUCCUCUUUGCGCUAUUUGUCCAGCAUAUGUUUCCUUCUGUUCACUUCCUUAUCACUCUGUUACAAACUAGAUCAAAACAGAAAAAGAUUGGGACAAAGUGCCUGGGAUUUUAUUUCAGGACACAUUCAAUGCAGGUAAAGAUUCCACGGCAGCCACUCUAGUUUGGACAAUGACAGAACGCACCCGCCAUCCAUCUAUGAUGAGAAAAGCACAAGCAGAGGUUCGAGAAGCAGCAAAAAGAAAGUUACACGUUGAAGAGAGUGACCUUCUAGGACUCACUUGCCUAACAUCAGUCAUCAAAGUGGCAUUAAGACUCCAUCCACCACUCCCUCUUCUAGUUCCAAGAGUAACGGUCGAGGAUUGCUAGAUGAGGGAAUACAAAAUUCCUAGAGGAACAACUGUAUUCAUCAAUGUGACAGCAAUAUCAACAGACCCGAAAAGUUGGGAAAACCCAGAAGAGUUUAGGCCAAGAGGUUCUUGAGCAGCUCCAUUGAUUUCAAUGGACAGAACUAUGAGUUUCUGCCAUUUGGUUCUGGCAGGCGGGGAUGCCCUGGCAUAAACUUCGGUAUCAUGAUAGUGAAGCUUGCAUUGGCUAAUCUCCUUCAUCAGUUCGACUGGAAACUGCCUGAAGGGAUGAGUGUUGAAGAUAUUCACAUGGAAGAAGCUUACGGCGUCACGACUUUCAAGAGAACUUCUCUUUGGCUGAUAGCAACCCCUGUGACUGGUUGACGUUGCGUUUGGAUGCUACUGAUAGAAAAGUACGCCUGAUUCACUCUGUAAAAACAUGGACUUUCUUCUGUUUCAGCAUGUUUACUGUGUUGUAAUCCUACCACAAGUUCUCCGGUUGGACUUUGUGGCAAUUGCUGUUCCUAGAUCUUGUAACCUGAAAUAAUCAAAAAACUUUUGAAAAACAAA